UGGGGAAUAUUGCACAAUGGGCGCAAGCCUGAUGCAGCCAUGCCGCGUGUAUGAAGAAGGCCUUUGGGUUGUAAAGUACUUUCAGCGGGGAGGAAAGGAGUAAAGUUAAUACCUUUGCUCAUUGACGUUACCCGCAGAAGAAGCACCGGCUAACUCCGUGCCAGCAGCCGCGGUAACACGGAGGGUGCAAGCGUUAAUUGGAAUUACUGGGCGUAAAGCGCACGCAGGCGGUUGGUUAAGUCAGAUGUGAAAUCCCCGGGCUCAACCUGGGAACUGCAUCUGAUGAUGGCAAGCUUGAGUCUCGUAGAGGGGGGUAGAAUUCCAGGUGUGGCGGUGAAAUGCGUAGAGAUCUGGAGGAAUACCGGUGGCGAAGGCGGCCCCCUUGACAAAGACUGACGCUCAGGUGCGAAAGCGUGGGGAGCAAACAGG
This 429-nucleotide ribosomal RNA is filed under the name Chloroflexota bacterium. RNAcentral's name for it is "Chloroflexi bacterium partial 16S ribosomal RNA". It matches the Rfam family "Bacterial small subunit ribosomal RNA", at positions 355 to 776 of the family's 1533-position model. Lineage: Bacteria; Bacillati; Chloroflexota. The record is from RNAcentral.